GGGGUUGUGGCUCAGUGGCAGAGCUCUUGCCUAGCAUGCAUGAGGCACUGGGUUCGAUCCUCAACACCA
Molecule: transfer RNA, 69 nt
Filed under: Marmota marmota marmota (Alpine marmot)
Lineage: Eukaryota; Metazoa; Chordata; Mammalia; Rodentia; Sciuridae
Also listed under: 1 other name
Rfam family: tRNA
About the family: Transfer RNA (tRNA) molecules are approximately 80 nucleotides in length. Their secondary structure includes four short double-helical elements and three loops (D, anti-codon, and T loops). Further hydrogen bonds mediate the characteristic L-shaped molecular structure. tRNAs have two regions of fundamental functional importance: the anti-codon, which is responsible for specific mRNA codon recognition, and the 3' end, to which the tRNAs corresponding amino acid is attached (by aminoacyl-tRNA synthetases). tRNAs cope with the degeneracy of the genetic code in two manners: having more than one tRNA (with a specific anti-codon) for a particular amino acid; and 'wobble' base-pairing, i.e. permitting non-standard base-pairing at the 3rd anti-codon position.
Source: Rfam by way of RNAcentral